CCCUGUCAUCAAUUACUAGCACCUCGCCUGAGCAGGGAGAUACACAGGGCAUAGUUCUAGGUGUCUUCAUACAUCUAUCGGUUGAUCUCAAGCAUGUUUCCAGGAAGAAGAAGCUGUAGCCUUAGGUAUUAAUAUAAUGAACCACUUUCACAUUUUCCUAUAGAAUCCACAUGCUUCUUGUGUCUGAGUCUUACCUUUUUCUCUCCUCUGAU
This 212-nucleotide long non-coding RNA is filed under the name Bos taurus (domestic cattle). Its description in RNAcentral is "long non-coding RNA NONBTAT023437". Lineage: Eukaryota; Metazoa; Chordata; Mammalia; Artiodactyla; Bovidae. The record is from RNAcentral.